ACAGAGGGUGCGAGCGUUAAUCGGAUUUACUGGGCGUAAAGCGUGCGUAGGCGGCUGAUUAAGUCGGAUGUGAAAUCCCUGAGCUUAACUUAGGAAUUGCAUUCGAUACUGGUCAGCUAGAGUAUGGGAGAGGAUGGUAGAAUUCCAGGUGUAGCGGUGAAAUGCGUAGAGAUCUGGAGGAAUACCGAUGGCGAAGGCAGCCAUCUGGCCUAAUACUGACGCUGAGGUACGAAAGCAUGGGGAGCAAACAGGAUUAGAUACCCUGGUAGUCCAUGCCGUAAACGAUGUCUACUAGCCGUUGGGGCCUUUGAGGCUUUAGUGGCGCAGCUAACGCGAUAAGUAGACCGCCUGGGGAGUACGGUCGCAAGACUA
This 372-nucleotide ribosomal RNA is filed under the name uncultured bacterium. RNAcentral describes it as "bacterial SSU rRNA". It matches the Rfam family "Bacterial small subunit ribosomal RNA", at positions 525 to 896 of the family's 1533-position model. The record is from RNAcentral.